Molecule: long non-coding RNA, 3326 nt
Organism: Cygnus olor (mute swan)
Lineage: Eukaryota; Metazoa; Chordata; Aves; Anseriformes; Anatidae
Exons: 5
Source: RefSeq, a predicted model, not a curated record
CCUGUUUGAAGGAAAAGAACUUCUGUAGCUAACCUUUUAUUUAACCAAACUGGUUGUGUUGCUCUUCAGAGAAACAUCCUCGUAUCCUCUCAGAAUUAUCUUUCCCUUUCCUAGAAUUUCUGAAGCCUUUAUACCAAUAACUCUUACAUUAGAAUUUUAUUACAUCCGAAGAAAACCAUGCAAUGGAAGCUGUGAGAAAGGAAAACCGUGGCUUUUCCCAUCUGAAAAUGUGGUUUCCCAACCGGAAUGUUGCUGGAGGGCAGAGGGGACUAUUUUUCACUGGAUGGUGUUAGGAAAAGAUGAUAUUUUGGUUCCCAGAAAAGGAUGGAGACAACUGUGCUCUUGAGAAAAGGGGUGGAAUGGAGGACAGUAACAGGAGAAAUGUUGGAAAUGGAAGCUAAAUGUUGAAAAUUCAAGAGGACUGCAGAUAUGAAGCUUUCUGAGGAACUGAUUGCUGCAGCUGGGAUGUGGGUUUGUAGCUGCACUGCAUGGAUGUGUGGGAUUUGCGGAACUUUCAACUGUACAUUUAGAGAAGGACUAAACAUUUGGAGAAGACUGCUGAAAGGGUGGCAAGCACACUGCCUGCACUUCAGUUAUAUUUUCAGUCGUCGCUGGACACUUAUGUAAAGCUUCAACAAUCUUUUUCUUGUUGUUGUUUUAAUUAAACUUAAAGCAGUUCUGCUGCUCUCUAUCUACUGCUUUUUCUGAAAGCAGAUGAACUGACUGAAUACAGUGUUCUUUUCUGGUACUGAAUUAUAAUGCUUCAUAACAUGAGUCCACUAACAGAGUACUUUAAAUAAUGUCAACCUAGUUUACAGGGAAUCUAAUUCAGAUGGAUACAGCUUAAAUUUUACACAACACAGAUAGUGAUUUUUAUUUUUAUCCUCUGUUGUAAUGAAAAUUUGUACCAACAGUUUUAAACUUUUAAUCUAAGAAGGUUGUCAGUCCAAAGAUUGGUCAAAAUUAGGACAGAAGUAAAUUUCUGACCCUUCAGCAAAUCUAGAUAUCUAGUCCUGCAAAAACUGACCUGUAAUUGAAUAUUUUUAGGAAAUAAAGAUAGAAGGUGGCAUUGAGAUGACAGUUUAUAAAUUUUUCCUCCAUGGAAGCAGAGCACAUUAAAAUUGCAAGUGAUAAAGGUUCUUGUUUGUUUGUUUUUUGCCAUGCAGUAGGAAACAUUCUGAGUGACUCCAGCAUUGUUUUUCUCUUGUCAACAAGAUCAUUUGAAGAAAAAUAGUUGUGUUUCUAAAAUAAUAGUAUCUCCUGUCAAAGAACUGCUGAAUACUUGGUUCUGCUACAAGGAUUUUUAUGAGAGGAGCAAGAAUAAUUUAGAAACAUCAAGAAAAAACUGGCUAUGCUUGGAUGUUUAGAGAAUCUACACUGUCUGUUUAGAUAUAAAUGUGCUGUGGCAGUCAGGAACACUUGCCAAACCUCACUGCAACCAAACUCCACUUUACUUUAAAAGGCUUUAUUGUUUUUUGUUGUUGUUGUUUUUCUUUGUUUUGUCUUUUUUUUUUUUUUUGAGAGGAACUGACUCUGACUUAAUUUAUCAUAUGUCUUCUUCAUAAUCUGGGUAUUCAAAAAAUGAAGAUGAGUCUCAAAUAAGAGCUUAGGCCCUUAAAAUCCUUUACAGCAAUUCAGUUAUACUGCUAUGAAGUAUACGCUUACAUUUCUUUCAUAUUGUAUUUGUGUAUGGGCGGGUGUUCCAUGGCACGUAUAAAAGAUGGAGAGAAAGAAUGAAGAAGGAAUAGAGGAUUAAAAAACAUUCUAAAUUCACUUUAAAAUGCAUUGUAUCAAGUUAUAUUACUUAUGGGCAUUUUUCAAAUCCUGAAACUAGGCAUCCUACACCUUUUGAUAGUGUUUGCCUAGAAACGUGUAUAGCCGUUAACUACUUGAGGUUUUGCACUGACAGAAAACAUCAAAAAUUCCUAAUUGUUCAUACCAAUGCUAAAACCCUGCCUGAGUUUUAAUACUGACUUUUUCCAUAAACUUCUAUAACUCAGUGUCAGCACAGGUUUUUCUAGUUAUGUCUUGUUUUAUAUUCUAAUUAGGUAUAAAAAUAGGAAAAAAAAAAAAAAGCUAAUAAUACAUGCUCCUGGGUCUGCUUUUAUAAUGGCAUUUACUUCUCUCUUCAUUGAAGGAAUCUACAUUAUUAUGGUCUCCUUGACACCUUGAAAGUAUGCUCUUACAACUCUCUGCUAAAUACACAGUAUCUUGGAUGUUUUUCAGUAUCUGCAUAUGGUGUUUUUGUUGGUGGUGGUGUUGGCAGUGUUACCGUUAAAUUGGCAAUAUCCUGAGACCUCUAAAAGUGUUCCCAAUCAACAUUUUCUUUCUGAUGGAAAUACUAUUACUUUUAUAUUAUAAAAGUUGGUUGGUUUAAUUUGUUGCUUCGUCAGCAAGAUAUCUUCCUGUUGUUUUUUUUAUUUAAUACAAGAAUAUCUUUUGUUGCCUCUAGCGGAAGAGAUACAAUACUGUUAACCAAUAUACAUACAAAUGAGAUUGCAGUUCUGUAAUUCAAAAGCUAAGCAUAGUGUAAUUAUGACGUAUGAAUUGGAUAUUUAUGUUUAUCUGAGCACAAAUGUAUCCCAAUGACUGAGUUACAAAUCAGUACCAAUUUAUACAAGUCAAGGCUUGGUUCUCAACUUCAAACAGCUGCUAAAGGAAGAGAUGAAAUUUAUGAAGGUAUCUGACAAAAACUCAGAUACUGGCAAAUUGUAGAUGCUUUCAAGCAACAACCAAAUUCUUUUGCCCGUGUAUUUUACUCUGACUUUUAUCAGUGUAAAGGUAUUACAUUAUUCCCUCUGAAAAUAGAGAUAUCUAAGGAAGACAAAGUAAGGGAAAAAUCUAUAGCCGAAUCUAUUAUUUGCCUCUUGCCUAAAACAAGAGAAAAGCUCAUUGCUGCAGUGGUCUAAUGAGCCCAUCUGUGUUGGCCCUCAACUCUUAAUGAAAGAGUUGAGCUCUCUCCAGUCACAAAUAUGAUUUCUAGAGCAAGACACAAAGGUAAUAGAUUUUACUUUUGAUUCCACAAGAAAACUUGGAGCAUUCAAAACUUGAGCAUGUACAGAGCAAAUUGGCUUGGAGAGAAUGAACAAAGGUAGGGAAGGCAUUUUACAAUUAAUGUAGAAGUAGACUACCACCUAAAACUUUACUUGUUUGGCCAGUUCAGGUUUCAGUGAUCUUGGGUAGUUCCCUAUUCAUUCAUAAAAUGAUCGUUUUCCCUGUUGAGGAUAAAUUUUGAAAAUAAAACUGCUGUAAAAUAACUCACGGAGAUAGUGAUAAAAUGUGAGGGUGAUAUGGUUCAAGAAGGGUUAUGCUUAUAAAAAAUAUGA